GCCGGUGUAGCUCAAUGGCAGAGCGCUUGCUUCCCAAGCAAGAUACGCGGGUUCGAUUCCCGUCACCGGCUCCA
Molecule: transfer RNA, 74 nt
Filed under: Aeromicrobium tamlense
Lineage: Bacteria; Bacillati; Actinomycetota; Actinomycetes; Propionibacteriales; Nocardioidaceae
Also listed under: 16 other names
Description: tRNA-Gly
Rfam family: tRNA
About the family: Transfer RNA (tRNA) molecules are approximately 80 nucleotides in length.
Source: RNAcentral